Molecule: ribosomal RNA, 253 nt
Filed under: uncultured bacterium
Lineage: Bacteria
Description: partial 16S ribosomal RNA
Rfam family: Bacterial small subunit ribosomal RNA
Source: RNAcentral
UAUGUAGGGUGCGAGCGUUAAUCGGAAUUACUGGGCGUAAAGCGUGCGCAGGCGGUUUUGUAAGACAGACGUGAAAUCCCCGGGCUUAACCUGGGAACUGCGUUUGUGACUGCAAGACUAGAGUACGGCAGAGGGGGGUAGAAUUCCACGUGUAGCAGUGAAAUGCGUAGAUAUGUGGAGGAAUACCGAUGGCGAAGGCAGCCCCCUGGGUCGAUACUGACGCUCAUGCACGAAAGCGUGGGGAGCAAACAGG